GCAGAAUCUGAUAAAGGACCAGUGGGCCAUCUGCCCGAGUACAUUCUUUUUCUCCCAGUAGAGACUUGCGUUGUUUUUUUAGCUAUAGAUUCAUACUGACACUAGUGAGAUGAUGCCCACUUCCUUUCCGCACAAUUUGCAAAUUACCAAUCUAGGAUGUAUCCAAAAUGAUCCCAAACUUUGCCUUGGCACAAUACAUUAGCCUCAACCCUUCGCCUUGUUGCUGCUGAAGAUGAGGGUGGCAGUAGAGGCUCCAGUAAAACUUGCUUUGGAUGACUAAUGGCAAGUCGUGGUGGUGAUAAUGACAGUGGUGAGCUAUCUAUGGCAGUGGUAGCAGAUUAUGUUCCAACCCUCUCCGUCAGAUAGAGUGAUUCAAAAG
This is a non-coding RNA of Pelobates cultripes (western spadefoot toad), 379 nucleotides long. The record is from the annotation of a GenBank genome assembly. NCBI's taxonomy places the organism in Eukaryota, Metazoa, Chordata, Amphibia, Anura, Pelobatidae.